AUUGAACGCUGGCGGCAUGCCUUACACAUGCAAGUCGAACGGCAGCAUAGGAGCUUGCUCCUGAUGGCGAGUGGCGAACGGGUGAGUAAUAUAUCGGAACGUGCCCUAGAGUGGGGGAUAACUAGUCGAAAGACUAGCUAAUACCGCAUACGAUCUACGGAUGAAAGUGGGGGAUCGCAAGACCUCAUGCUCCUGGAGCGGCCGAUAUCUGAUUAGCUAGUUGGUGGGGUAAAAGCUCACCAAGGCGACGAUCAGUAGCUGGUCUGAGAGGACGACCAGCCACACUGGGAUGGAGACACUGCCCAGACUCCUACGGGAGGCAGCAGUGGGGAAUUUUGGACAAGGGGGGCAACCCUGAUCCAGCAAUGCCGCGUGAGUGAAGAAGGCCUUCGGGUUGUAAAGCUCUUUUGUCAGGGAAGAAACGGUUCUGGAUAAUACCUGGAGCUAAUGACGGUACCUGAAGAAUAAGCACCGGCUAACUACGUGCCAGCCGCCGCCGUAA
RNAcentral lists this ribosomal RNA (502 nucleotides) under uncultured bacterium. RNAcentral's name for it is "partial 16S ribosomal RNA". It matches the Rfam family "Bacterial small subunit ribosomal RNA", at positions 30 to 523 of the family's 1533-position model. The record is from RNAcentral.